RNAcentral lists this ribosomal RNA (407 nucleotides) under uncultured Cellulosimicrobium sp. RNAcentral's name for it is "bacterial SSU rRNA". It matches the Rfam family "Bacterial small subunit ribosomal RNA", at positions 355 to 774 of the family's 1533-position model. Lineage: Bacteria; Bacillati; Actinomycetota; Actinomycetes; Micrococcales; Promicromonosporaceae. The record is from RNAcentral.
UGGGGAAUAUUGCACAAUGGGCGAAAGCCUGAUGCAGCAACGCCGCGUGAGGGAUGACGGCCUUCGGGUUGUAAACCUCUUUUAGUAGGGAAGAAGCGAAAGUGACGGUACCUGCAGAAAAAGCACCGGCUAACUACGUGCCAGCAGCCGCGGUAAUACGUAGGGUGCAAGCGUUGUCCGGAAUUAUUGGGCGUAAAGAGCUCGUAGGCGGUUUGUCGCGUCUGGUGUGAAAACUCGAGGCUCAACCUCGAGCUUGCAUCGGGUACGGGCAGACUAGAGUGCGGUAGGGGAGACUGGAAUUCCUGGUGUAGCGGUGGAAUGCGCAGAUAUCAGGAGGAACACCGAUGGCGAAGGCAGGUCUCUGGGCCGCAACUGACGCUGAGGAGCGAAAGCAUGGGGAGCGAACA